Molecule: ribosomal RNA, 861 nt
Filed under: uncultured bacterium
Lineage: Bacteria
Description: bacterial SSU rRNA
Rfam family: Bacterial small subunit ribosomal RNA
Source: RNAcentral
GGCUCAGGACGAAUGCUGGCUGCGUGCUUAACACAUGCAAGUCGAACGGUGAUGGAGGGCUUGCCCUCCGGAUCAGUGGCGAACGGGUGAGUAACACGUGGGCAACCUGCCCCUCACUCUGGGAUAACACCGGGAAACCGGUGCUAAUACCGGAUACGACCAGGCGCGACAUCUCGCCUGGUGGAAAGAACUUCGGUGAGGGAUGGGCCCGCGGCCUAUCAGCUUGUUGGUGAGGUAACGGCUCACCAAGGCGACGACGGGUAGCCGGCCUGAGAGGGCGACCGGCCACACUGGGACUGAGACACGGCCCAGACUCCUACGGGAGGCAGCAGUGGGGAAUAUUGCGCAAUGGGCGAAAGCCUGACGCAGCGACGCAGCGUGAGGGACGAAGGCCUUCGGGUUGUAAACCUCUUUCAGCGGGGACGAAGCGAAAGUGACGGUACCCGCAGAAGAAGCACCGGCUAACUACGUGCCAGCAGCCGCGGUAAUACGUAGGGUGCAAGCAUUGUCCGGAUUUAUUGGGCGUAAAGAGCUCGUAGGCGGCUUGUCACGUCGGGUGUGAAAACUUGGGGCUCAACCCCAAGCCUGCACUCGAUACGGGCUAGCUAGAGUGUUGCAGGGGAGACUGGAAUUCCUGGUGUAGCGGUGAAAUGCGCAGAUAUCAGGAGGAACACCGGUGGCGAAGGCGGGUCUCUGGGCAACUACUGACGCUGAGGAGCGAAAGCGUGGGGAGCGAACAGGAUUAGAUACCCUGGUAGUCCACGCCGUAAACGUUGGGCGCUAGGUGUGGGGAACCUUCCACGUUCUCCGUGCCGUAGCUAACGCAUUAAGCGCCCCGCCUGGGGAGUACGGCCGCAAGGC